This 253-nucleotide ribosomal RNA is filed under the name uncultured bacterium. Its description in RNAcentral is "partial 16S ribosomal RNA". It matches the Rfam family "Bacterial small subunit ribosomal RNA", at positions 524 to 776 of the family's 1533-position model. The record is from RNAcentral.
GACGGAGGAGGCUAGCGUUGUUCGGAAUUACUGGGCGUAAAGCGUGCGCAGGCGGUUUGGCAAGUCAGGGGUGAAAGCCCGAGGCUCAACCUCGGAACGGCCCUUGAGACUGCCAGGCUGGAGACCGAGAGAGGAGAGUGGAAUUCCCAGUGUAGAGGUGAAAUUCGUAGAUAUUGGGAAGAACACCGGUGGCGAAGGCGGCUCUCUGGCUCGGUACUGACGCUCAUGCACGAAAGCGUGGGGAGCAAACAGG